UUGAAAGGGAAACGAUUGAAGUCAGUCGUACCGACGAGAAAUCAGCUUUUCGAAUGUGCAUUUGUGGGCGUAUGAGAUCUUCAUUGUUUGCAAUAUGUAUAUUUCUUUGGUGUACUUUUUCGUAUGGUAGGUCAACGUCGGUUUUGAUCGCCAUAAAAUGAUCGGAGGAAUGUAGCUUCGGCUUCGGUUGAAGUGUUAUAGCCUUUGGUAAAUGUGGUGAUUAGGACCGAGGAUUGCAACGAAUACCUUUUAGGCUAUCCGUCUGACCUCUGAAAGUUACUUAGGUGCCGAAAGCUUGCUUACGGUCAUUUAAGUUGACAGUCAAUAGGUUAGAACGUGAUUACAUUCGUUAAGGAUGUUGACGUA
This 366-nucleotide ribosomal RNA is filed under the name uncultured Glomeromycotina. Its description in RNAcentral is "LSU rRNA". The record is from RNAcentral. Lineage: Eukaryota; Fungi; Glomeromycota.